This 428-nucleotide unclassified non-coding RNA is filed under the name Bombus terrestris (buff-tailed bumblebee). Its description in RNAcentral is "misc RNA ENSBTSG00005024297.1". The record is from RNAcentral. Lineage: Eukaryota; Metazoa; Arthropoda; Insecta; Hymenoptera; Apidae.
AACACGUGUUUCAGCGCUUUUGUUUCAAUGCAACACCUGAAGGCUGUUCAAACGCAGAUUAAUAGACAUAAAUUGUUAUAAUAAAACAAAUAAUGAAACGGGCAAAGCCACGGGCGAACGAUUAAUUUGAUUACACAGGACAAAAUAGGCUCGUUUUUCUUGAAUGUCUAAUUUAUGGUCGAAAGGAACCAAUUCAGUAUGAAAUUGAAAUGGGAAUAAAUGGUAUGCGAAUUUAGGAAAUUUGUUCAAAUACUAAUAGUAAAUUUUCUGACAAUUAACAUUUCCCAAUUAUUCAGAAGGGUAGGACAAAUAUAUAUUUUUAAUUGCAAAUAAAUUUCUAAUAAUCGUUUGAUUUAAUUGACGAUGAAGUAGAAUUAGUUUCUGUUUUUAACAUCGAAUAUUAUAGAAGAUUAUUUGCAAUAAUUUUU